Molecule: transfer RNA, 72 nt
Filed under: Kwoniella pini CBS 10737
Lineage: Eukaryota; Fungi; Basidiomycota; Tremellomycetes; Tremellales; Cryptococcaceae
Description: tRNA-Arg (CCT) (tRNA-Arg-CCT-1-1)
Rfam family: tRNA
About the family: Transfer RNA (tRNA) molecules are approximately 80 nucleotides in length. Their secondary structure includes four short double-helical elements and three loops (D, anti-codon, and T loops).
Source: RNAcentral
GCCGGCGUGGCGUAGUGGUAGCGCUUUCCAUUCCUAAUGGAAGGGUCCGGGGUUCGAACCCCCGCGCAGGUU